AUGACUUUCAUCUUCAUGUUCCUCUGGACACUUGUCCUCUACUUUCAGAUCUCAUAUGGACAGGUCACUGUGACUCAGACUCCUGCAGUGAAAGCUGUUCAACAGGGAGGAUCAGUCACUCUGAACUGUAAAACCAGCAGUGAUGUGUAUGAUGCAGGGAAAUCAAGUCUUGAAUUAAACUGGUACCAACAGAAACCUGGAGCAGCUCCUAAACUCCUGAUCUAUUAUGCCAAAACACUUCAGUCUGGGACUCCAUCCAGAUUCAGUGGCAGUGGAACUCACAGUGACUUCACUCUGACCAUCAGUAAUGUCCAGGCUGAGGAUGCAGGAGUUUACUACUGUCAAAGUGCACACGUUAUAAGCAGUAAAGCUGUGUUCACACAGUGA
Molecule: non-coding RNA, 387 nt
Organism: Clupea harengus (Atlantic herring)
Lineage: Eukaryota; Metazoa; Chordata; Actinopteri; Clupeiformes; Clupeidae
Source: the annotation of a RefSeq genome assembly